RNAcentral lists this ribosomal RNA (253 nucleotides) under uncultured bacterium. Its description in RNAcentral is "partial 16S ribosomal RNA". It matches the Rfam family "Bacterial small subunit ribosomal RNA", at positions 524 to 776 of the family's 1533-position model. The record is from RNAcentral.
UACGAAGGGGGCUAGCGUUGCUCGGAAUCACUGGGCGUAAAGCGCACGUAGGCGGCUUCUUAAGUCAGGGGUGAAAUCCUGGAGCUCAACUCCAGAACUGCCCUUGAUACUGAGGAGCUCGAGUCCGGAAGAGGUGAGUGGAACUGCGAGUGUAGAGGUGAAAUGCGUAGAUAUCAGGAGGAACACCGGUGGCGAAGGCGGCUCUCUGGACGGAUACUGACGCUGAGGCGCGAAAGCGUGGGGAUCAAACAGG